UGUGUGUGUGUAGGUGGAGAUGUUGUCAUGGCGACGGUCUGGAUCACACAAACAGUGGGAAAUUCUUUGGAACUUUCAGGAAGCAAACAGAACGUCAGCUGAGAGACCAGACCCCGGUCUGACUGUGUGUGUGUGUGUGUGUGUGUGUGUGUGUGUGUGUGUGUGUAGGUUCCUGGCCAAUGGCAGGAUGUCAAGUGUUUCCAAUCCUGUUGUGGAGGAUGAAGCUCCGCCCACUUCUUCUGCCACAACAGCACACUCUAAUAGACACACACAGAGGAGGAAGAAGGUGCGAAGAAUCCCUGCUGAGGUGACUGGAGAGCAGGCCCCGCCCCCUGCCCCGCCCCCUGCCCCGCCCACAGAUCUCAGCUCCGUGGGCCAGCGGCUCCCGUUCCCAGCAUGCUCUCUGAGGGCCACCCCGGGUCCCCCCGGCCCCCCCCGGGCCCCCCGGGCCCCCCGGCCCCGUUCAGGCCGCCGCCCCCCCUGCUGAGUACCACUCGGACUCGGCCGAGUCCCUGGAGGAGAUCCCGGUGGCCCUGGCCAAGCUGGGCUCCACUGCACAGCGAGUCCUCCAGGCCUUCCCCCGGCCCCCCCUCCGGGGGCCCCCCUCCCUCUGGGGGCCCCCCUCCCCCCAGCCCAGGACUAAAAGGAAGGGGGCCUCCUCCCGCCUGCACAGAAACAGUGUGGUCUUCGUGACCCGGGCCAGCGGGGCCCCUGCUGAGUCCCGGGAGGAGGUCCUGGUCCCGGGAUCCAGAACCAGACCCUCCAGGUUGGGAUCCCAGACCUCCCUGGGUUUAGGUGCAGCCCCGUGGACGGAGCACUAAGACCAGGUCAGACCAGGAGAGACCAGGUCAGACCAGGUCAGACCAGGAGAGACCAGGUCAGACCAGGAGAGAUCAGGUCAGACCAGGAGAGACCAGGAAAGACCAGGAGAGAUCA
Salarias fasciatus (jewelled blenny) is the source of this 936-nucleotide long non-coding RNA. RefSeq lists it as uncharacterized. The transcript is spliced from 3 exons. NCBI's taxonomy places the organism in Eukaryota, Metazoa, Chordata, Actinopteri, Blenniiformes, Blenniidae. The record is from RefSeq and is a predicted model, not a curated record.